CCUACAGGUAGCAGCAGUGAGGAAUAUUGGUCAAUGGGCUGGAGCCUGAACCAGCCAAGCCGCGUGAGGGAAGAAGGUACAGCGUAUCGUAAACCUCUUUUGUCAGGGAACAAAGGCGGGGACUAGUCCCCGGAUGAGUGUACCUGAAGACAAAGCAUCGGCUAACUCCGUGCCAGCAGCCGCGGUAAUACGGAGGAAGCUAGCGUUAUCCGGAUUUAUUGGGGUUAAAGGGUGCGAAGGCUGCCUGGUAAGUCAGCGGUAAAAGCCCGGGGAUCAACCCCGGCGAGCCGUUGAAACUGGCGGGCUGGAGUGGGAGAGAAGUACGCGGAAUGCGCGGUGUAGCGGUGAAAUGCUUAGAUAUCGCGCAGAACCCCGAUUGCGAAGGCAGCGUACCGGCUCCACACGGACGCUGAGGCACGAAAGCGUGGGUAUCGAACAGGAUUAGAUACCCUUGUAGUC
This 459-nucleotide ribosomal RNA is filed under the name uncultured bacterium. RNAcentral's name for it is "partial 16S ribosomal RNA". It matches the Rfam family "Bacterial small subunit ribosomal RNA", at positions 338 to 795 of the family's 1533-position model. The record is from RNAcentral.